This 305-nucleotide ribosomal RNA is filed under the name uncultured bacterium. RNAcentral describes it as "bacterial SSU rRNA". It matches the Rfam family "Bacterial small subunit ribosomal RNA", at positions 337 to 659 of the family's 1533-position model. The record is from RNAcentral.
GCCUACGGGACGCAGCAGUGGGGAAUAUUGCACAAUGGGGGAAACCCUGAUGCAGCGACGCCGCGUGAGUGAAGAAGUAUUUCGGUAUGUAAAGCUCUAUCAGCAGGGAAGAAAAUGACGGUACCUGACUAAGAAGCCCCGGCUAACUACGUGCCAGCAGCCGCGGUAAUACGUAGGGGGCAAGCGUUAUCCGGAUUUACUGGGUGUAAGGGGAGCGUAGACGGAAAGGCAAGUCAGAAGUGAAAACCCAAGGCUCAACCAUGGGACUGCUUUUGAAACUGUCAACCUAGAGUACGGGAGAGGUA